UACGGGAGGCAGCAGUGGGGAAUAUUGCACAAUGGGCGCAAGCCUGAUGCAGCCAUGCCGCGUGUAUGAAGAAGGCCUUCGGGUUGUAAAGUACUUUCAGUCGUGAGGAAGGUGUUAAGGUUAAUAACCUUAGCAAUUGACGUUAGCGACAGAAGAAGCACCGGCUAACUCCGUGCCAGCAGCCGCGGUAAUACGGAGGGUGCGAGCGUUAAUCGGAAUUACUGGGCGUAAAGGGCACGCAGGCGGUUAAUUAAGUUGGAUGUGAAAUCCCCGGGCUUAACCUGGGAAUGGCAUUCAAGACUGGUUAGCUAGAGUCUUGUAGAGGGGGUAGAAUUCCAUGUGUAGCGGUGAAAUGCGUAGAGAUGUGGAGGAAUACCGGUGGCGAAGGCGGCCCCUGGGACAAAGGCUGACGCUCAUGUGCGAAAGCGUGGGGAGCGAAACAGGGAUUAGAUACC
RNAcentral lists this ribosomal RNA (455 nucleotides) under uncultured bacterium. RNAcentral's name for it is "bacterial SSU rRNA". It matches the Rfam family "Bacterial small subunit ribosomal RNA", at positions 340 to 786 of the family's 1533-position model. The record is from RNAcentral.